This is a long non-coding RNA of Odocoileus virginianus texanus, 452 nucleotides long. RefSeq lists it as uncharacterized. NCBI's taxonomy places the organism in Eukaryota, Metazoa, Chordata, Mammalia, Artiodactyla, Cervidae. The record is from RefSeq and is a predicted model, not a curated record.
AACAAUGAACACAAUUGUGUCAGUAUUCAAAGUGUAAGUAGUAGUGAACCUUUGAAAAAAGAAUAUAAAAUCUACAUGGAUUCUCUUCCACAAAAACUAAGGCAUCACAGACGGAUUUCUUUCCCAAAAGCCUACUAAUGAGUUAACCAAAUACUCCCUGGUUACUUGGGGAAUCAAGUAACCAGGGGAGACAGUUCUCUCAGAACGGAACUCUUCUAUGGUGUUUACUUUCAGUUUAAUAUGUAAAUCAGGGAGAAUAAGUGGUGACAUCUGAAUUGAUAACCUCAAGGAAUCUAAAACAGUCCAAAGAUUCAUGGCAGCAAGCUGGUCUUUCCUAUGGGAAAGACAGUCUGAUGAUAGGCAUGAAAAGAAAAGUGUCAGAAUUUGAGGACAUCCAAAUGCCAACGAUUUUAAUCAAGUUAAAAGAUGUUUACCAGAUUCAGCACUAGAAG